UUCUCUUGAAUUCUGUGGGUGCUU
This 24-nucleotide non-coding RNA is filed under the name Rattus norvegicus (Norway rat). Lineage: Eukaryota; Metazoa; Chordata; Mammalia; Rodentia; Muridae. The record is from RNAcentral.